RNAcentral lists this ribosomal RNA (267 nucleotides) under uncultured Glomeromycotina. RNAcentral's name for it is "partial small subunit ribosomal RNA". It matches the Rfam family "Eukaryotic small subunit ribosomal RNA", at positions 568 to 845 of the family's 1831-position model. Lineage: Eukaryota; Fungi; Glomeromycota. The record is from RNAcentral.
CAGCAGCCGCGGUAAUUCCAGCUCCAAUAGCGUAUAUUAAAGUUGUUGCAGUUAAAAGCCGUAGUUGAAUUUCGGGGUUAGUAGGUUGGUCAUGCCUCUGGUAUGUACUGGUCUCACUAUUCCUCCUUCCUGAUGAGCCGUAAUGCCAUUAAUUUGGUGUUGCGGGGAAUUUGGACUUUACUUUGAAAAAAUUAGAGUGUUUAAAGCAAGCUAACGCUUGAAUACAUUAGCAUGGAUAAUGAAAUAGGACGUUCGAUCCUAUUUUGU